AGCCUGAUGCAGCGACGCCGCGUGAGGGAUGAAGGCCUUCGGGUUGUAAACCUCUUCCAGCAGGGAAGAAGCGAAAGUGACGGUACCUGCAGAAGAAGCGCCGGCUAACUACGUGCCAGCAGCCGCGGUAAUACGUAGGGCGCAAGCGUUGUCCGGAAUUAUUGGGCGUAAAGAGCUCGUAGGCGGUUUGUCGCGUCUGCUGUGAAAACCUGAGGCUCAACCUCGGGCUUGCAGUGGGUACGGGCAGACUAGAGUGCGGUAGGGGUGACUGGAAUUCCUGGUGUAGCGGUGGAAUGCGCAGAUAUCAGGAGGAACACCGAUGGCGAAGGCAGGUCACUGGGCCGCAACUGACGCUGAGGAGCGAAAGCAUGGGGAGCGAACAGGAUUAGAUACCCUGGUAGUCCAUGCCGUAAACGUUGGGCACUAGGUGUGGGGCUCAUUCCACGAGUUCCGUGCCGCAGCAAACGCAUUAAGUGCCCCGCCUGGGGAGUACGGCCGCAAGGCUAAAACUC
RNAcentral lists this ribosomal RNA (512 nucleotides) under Cellulomonas cellasea. RNAcentral describes it as "bacterial SSU rRNA". It matches the Rfam family "Bacterial small subunit ribosomal RNA", at positions 380 to 902 of the family's 1533-position model. The record is from RNAcentral. Lineage: Bacteria; Bacillati; Actinomycetota; Actinomycetes; Micrococcales; Cellulomonadaceae.